This 4687-nucleotide long non-coding RNA is filed under the name Xyrichtys novacula (pearly razorfish). Lineage: Eukaryota; Metazoa; Chordata; Actinopteri; Labriformes; Labridae. The record is from RNAcentral.
UGUCUGUGUCUGUGUGUGUACUGUGUACCGGUGUGUACUUUGUAUCAGCAGUAUCCCCCUAAAACAGUCUCUUAUAUAUUUCUCUGUUCUUCUUAGUUCUCAGUUUGAGCCCAGCUAAGUUUUUUUACAUGUGUUUUCUUACCUGUAGACCUGUAGACCUGCAGACCUGUAAACCUCAGACCUGUAACCUGUAGACCUGUAGACCUGUAAACCAUAGACCAGGUUGGUCAGUCUGAGAGUUUGUGGCUUCAGAAUCUCCUCGCUCUUCCUCUCGCUCUUUAUGUUUUUCCUGGUUUUGCUCCUAGUCUUUUGUCCUAUAUACUCAUCCUUCUUCGUGUUGUCUAUAAUUCUUUGGCCUUGUUCCCUUAUUUAUGUCCUUAUGUCCUUGGUCUUUUGUGUCCUCAGAAAUUGCCUGUUGUCUCCUCUCUUUGUAUCCUCAUUUCCUUGAUUACUUUGCUAAUUUCUUUGUUGGGUUAUGGUAUAGCUGCACUUUGUGGGGUUUUGAUGUGUGUACUUGUUUCCUUGUAUUUUCUAUUCAUCAUCUCUCCUGGAUGCUGAUCGGUUAAAAGUCAGUCAGUGUCUGUGUUGUUUCCUCAUGUCCUAGUUUGUGUUCUUAAAUCACUGACUCACUUAGAUUUUGUUACCUUUGGUUUAUUAUCAUUAUCCUUCUAACUCUUUCUUCUCUCUCUUUAACUAUAUCUAUCCUUACUUCCUUCUUUGUCCCCUCAUCUGCAUCCUUGUUACCUCUCCUUGCUCCAUGAUCCCUUGCACACUUGUUUUGCUCGUGUAUGUCACAUUUUUUCCUCCAGUAAUCGCUCCUCAGGUGCAGAAUAUUUUGGACAUCAUGUCCCCUUUUAUGCACUUGCUUCUUCUCCUUUUUCUUUCUCAUUGUGUCCUUCCUUUGUGUCCUUGCUCCCUCUGAUUUUACUGCAUCCCUGCAUGCUGACUCCCUCAGUGUGUUAUUUUUACUUCACCCACUUCCUCCUGCUCUAUCACCUCCUGUCCUACUCCACUCUGCAGCAUCCUUGUCUCCUCAUAUGCCCUUAUUUCUUUCUUGUAGCAUCCUUACCUUCCUGUUUACUUGUUCCUCCUCUGAAUCUCUGCUUUGUUGCAUCUUCAGUCUGCAGGUAUCCUUAAGUAAUAUAAGACAAGUUAUCAUCUAUGUUUAUUUGUCGACUGCUUGUGUCUGUAUCUUUACAAAUCAAUUACCGUGGUGAUGCACAGAGGUGAAAUACACACACAAACAAGCACAGGGACAGAGAGGAAGGAGAUCUGCAAAACUCUUGAUUUUGUGGUGACAUUAUUCCUGAUCGCCAUCCUGAUGAGGAGAGAUGAAGUAAAAAAGAGAGAGAGAGAGAAGGCUGUGUGUGUGUGUACGUGUGUGUGUGAGUGUGUUACUUCAGCCCUCAUAUUGAACAUCCUCCCACACACGUUAUAGAGCUCCACACACACAGACACACACUCCUUCAGCCUGCUGUUCUGGCUGCAUGGUUGAAGCCCACACAGAGCUCAUAGCUGCAGGGUUUGGGGUUAUUUGUGUUCAUGUUGGAGUGUGUUUGCACGUACCUGCAUGCACCUCAGCUCUACUCAGUCUCUUCUACAUUAUUGUGCACCACCUUGUUUAUACUGCUGAGUACGAAAUGUUUAAAGAAAUUCUAAUGAAAUCGUUCAGAUUCACUGAGAGUUGGCCUUCAAGAGAAGCAGCUGUUUCAGAGGAGCAUCCAUACAGACCUGAAAAAAAGUUAAGGCUGCAAACAUGCUUUUUUAUAUUUUUCGUACUUAGUUGAAAAUGUGGCUUUUGAUGUGGCAGUCUGUCUACAAACGGCAGCAGCUGACGAUUCAGAAAGUCAGACUAACAGAGGUGUGUUAAAAGCAGGGUUGUAAGUGUUAGUACACUUCUUGGUUAAGGUCUAAAUGGUUGUAGAAUUUUAAAAGUUAGUUGUAAUCAUAAUAUAAUUUUAGAUUAUUAUUAUAAAUAAAUCAAUAUUUAAUUGGAUUAGUACCCUUUCAUGAUUUUGUUUUAAGCCUGUAAUUUAAAGCCGCUCUAAGCGGUGUGUUGGCGUGUAAUGAAGCUGAAGCAGUGGUUGCACUUUCAGAUGUUUUAUGCAGAUCAAAGCUGCGUCAGUGUGGUCUGAAACUGUGACUGAGAGGAGUCCGCUUCAGAAAGGUUAUUCUGUCAGAUACAGAGAUCACUAUUUGACAGGGUGACACAUUAACAAACAUGCAGGGAUAUAUGUACAAAAUAUCCAAUCAGUGACAAUAUUAUUCUGAGAUGCAGGGAUCCCUGUUGAAUGCGACAUCAUAUGCACUCUUCUGGAGUUUCACUGUCCUGUCCUUACAGUGAAGGCAUGACACCUCCCUGUAAAAAGAGGAAGCACUGGGCAGGUACGAAGGAAAACUUGAAAGAUCAUUCCCCUCCAUGCCAAGUCCUCUGAGACCUGGAAAAGCUUCCGUAUAUUAUAUUGGCAUUGCCGUUAAACAGGGGUGAAAGGAAGUUGGUACGCAGCGGUACGCAAACUUUUUUACCCCUGCAAUGUAUGUAGACUACAUUUGCUUGCUGUGUUGCCGCACAGCGAUUUGCACUCUGCAUUGUAACCGUAGUAAUCCAAUAGGACCAUGCUGCUUGCAAGUUAGUCGUAUUUGCUUCUGCAAACAAACAAACUCCGGAAGUGGGAGCGUUCAGUGCGCACCUUUGAUUGGAUGCUGGUUGCCUCGGCGCUGGGGACCACUUCCAGCCUUUUGCGGAAGGAGGGAACAUUUAAAGUGACAGCUGCUUCAAUAUUAGAGAAGAGAAAUAAAAUACAGAGAAAAAUUGAUUUUCUGCAGCAAUCACUGGAUGUUAGUGAAAAGUAAGGUCUAGUAGCUGGAAAUUGCAUUGACUUGGAGACUUCUCAGAAACUCAUUCAUGUUUUCAAUGUGACCGCAAACCUGUAGGUAACAAACAAGCUCCUGUUUUCAGUCACUGCACAACAGCUCAGACACCCCCUACAUGCAGUAUAGGCAGCAGGAUCCUGUUUAUGCUGCGACACAGUCACCUCUGAGCAAAGAUCUGUUUACCUGUGACUGGACGUUUCAUAUCAGAGUUUAUUCAGUCUGGACUCAGAGCAGAAACUUUAGGUCAGCGCUGAUCCUCUAAGAAAAGCCUGCAGUGGGUUUAAAGCCUGAUCUCAAUCUCUGUAAGUGUGUAUAGAAGCUGAGAUGAUCUCUGCUCGCUCUGUUAAAUAACUCUGCUUAUUUAAAGAGAUCUGACAAAUCACUCUGACAGCGAGUCUCACUAUUUUUACCAUUUCAACCAGCCUGUUCUGACCUACCUACAACUUUGGUGUCUCUGUAUGCCCCCCUCUGCUAGUUCACAUGUGUAUACACACACACACACACACACACACACACACACACACACACACACACACACACACACACACACACACACACACACACACACACACACACAGCAGAGUCUCUCCUACGCACAGGAACUGGAGCAGGUUGUGUCGGUGCACGUAUGAAUAAAUCUUUAUGUAAGCCAUUCAUUUCAUGCUCCCACUCACCCUGCAGACUCAGACCAUUCAACACUCUGCUUACAAAACCAGUCUCCUUACAUAAUGUGGAGUUUAAACUGGAGUUUCACCAGUUUAUCUGCAGGCUAUGACUGGAUUAUGAUGGGUGUGUGUCAAGAGGUCAGAUAGCUGACAGAAAGUAAAAGAACAGGCUGGUUCUGGAUGAAGCUACUUAAGAAAGACACCCAGCUGUGGAGGGCGGGCCACAAGUUCAAGUUAGCUUCAUGUCUUCUUCAUGAGACAAACUGCAGAUCCGCUCUGUAUCCAGACCAGUUUACCAGUGCCCGCGGGACUGAAAGGCUUUCAACUAAACUCCAGAAAGAGGUAACUGAGUUUUUAGCGUCCAGAUUGUUGAAAUUGUGUCCAUCAACAGUAGUGUCCGACAGACAGACCUGGUCAUCAUGGUUACCACGAAUUGAGCAAAUAGUAAGGGAACUCAGACACCAACUCAUUAUCCAUCAGCUGUGGUCUCAUGACUUUACACAGUAGAUAUUUGUAUGAGAGCAGCUGCAGAAGUCUAUGAUCAUCUCUGAUUCUGAUUUCCAGUCUGCAGUUGUUCUUCAGACCUUCAAGCACAGAAAGCAGAGAGGACGGGAUGUCUCUGACUUCAGCAUCAGUCCUGCAGUGUCUGCAGGUUUUGCAGGAGGCUCUGAAAUGUUGGUCAUUAACCCAAGAGGCUAAAUCAUGCCAGACAGUGACUGAUGGGUUUCUGCGUUGCCCCUGACAGUAAUUCAGGGUCACCAACCUGAGCUGUGUCUGAACAUAACAGAGGGGUGAUAUACAGGAGAGUCGAUGUGUCACAUUUAGAGGAGGACAGACUCACUGCUACAGCUGCAGCACCAGCCCCAGAGUUGUCCACGUGUUAGUGACCUUUCUGAGGAGGUGUGGGCCAUGUGCUCAGGUACAGGGAUAUGGAGACCUAGGGUGUAAACCUCAUGCAGAGGAAUAAAUGAAGCUGUGGAGCCAAAGCUCAGAGUGUGGACUCAGGAAUAAAGGACCAAUCAGAGUGUUUUCAGUCAGAAGUGUUAUGAUGAAAUCUGUUUGUUUUUACUUUUCUUGGAGCUUCAUUUAAACUCCACUUUAAUCCGGUCUCUGACCGCUCCAGCCUAAACACUGACACCAACCAGCCC